GGAGCGGGAGGGAGUCAGUCCAGCGGCUGGGGCCACCGAGCCUUCUCUCCUCCUCACAGAAGCCGGGGCCGGGCCUCCGAGGUACAGCAGCCCCGAGUCCCGGCGGUCACCUUGGCUUUUAGGCUUCUCACCUGGGGCGGGUGGGUGUCCCCACCCUCCCGCCCUCUUUCUCACGCGCGAGCCCCAGCUGCAUCCAGCACCACGGACAGCUCCCGGGAGGAGGUCCCAUGAUCCCGCACAUUCCUGUCUUGGGAAGUCCUUGCCAGGGCCUAACCCCGAUCUGUAGCGAAGCACCCUUCGACCCUGGGCGCCACGCGGCGACUUUGAGAGACCAAAAAGAAGGAUCUGUGUAUCCAGUAGGUGUGGGCUUGCUCCGAGAAGCCUUCUGGGAUUGACCCAAGGAUGAAGCUCAACUCCAUCAACUGACCCGCUGCUCCAGGAAGCCUCUGAGCAGGAUGGAAUUGGCUAGGCCCUGGCUCCAGCCUGGGUUGCCCAUUCCUCCUGGAGCCACUGGGGAUGGGACUUCUUUCCACGCAUGCUCCCGUGUCUGCCGCUGUCCACCUAGCCCAGCCCGGUCCCCCCCGUGUCGUCUGAGCUGACAGUCCUGAGAUGGGGGUCCCAUCUCCUCUAAUAAAGAUUCCUAAACGUUGA
Long non-coding RNA from Neogale vison (American mink), 651 nucleotides. RefSeq lists it as uncharacterized. The record is from RefSeq and is a predicted model, not a curated record. The transcript is spliced from 5 exons. Lineage: Eukaryota; Metazoa; Chordata; Mammalia; Carnivora; Mustelidae.